AAUAGUCCUGUAUGUUAAACGAGAAGACUUUAGAUAUGAUCCAGAGUACCACGGGACACGUGAAACCCUGUGGGAAGCAGGAGGGACCACCCUCCAAGGCUAAAUACUACCUAGUGACCGAUAGCGUAUAGUACCGUGAGGGAAAGGUGAAAAGAACCCCGGGAGGGGAGUGAAAUAGAACCUGAAACCCUGCACUUACAAGCUGUGGAAGCACAUUUCUUGUGUGACCGCGUACUUUUUGUAGAACGGGCCAACGAGUUACGUUAAGUAGCAAGGUUAAGCACUUAAGGUGCGGAGCCGUAGCGAAAGCGAGUUUUAACUGAGCGUUCAGUUACUUGACGUAGACCCGAAACCGGGCGACCUACCCAUGAGCAGGAUGAAGCGAAAGUAAAAUUUCGUGGAGGUCCGAACCCACGAGCGUUGAAAAGCUCGGGGAUGACUUGUGGGUAGCGGUGAAAUUCCAAUCGAGCCCGGAGAUAGCUGGUUCUCCCCGAAAUAGCUUUAGGGCUAGCCUCAAGGUGAGAGAUACGGAGGUAGAGCACUGAAUGUCCUAGGGGGUAUUGCACCUACCGAAGACUAUCAAACUCCGAAUGCCGUCAUCUUAUACUUGGGAGUCAGACUGUGGGUGAUAAGAUUCAUAGUCGAAAGGGCAACAGCCCAGAUCGUCAGCUAAGGUCCCUAAAUGUAAGUUAAGUGGUAAAGGAUGUGGGAUUGCACAGACAACCAGGAUGUUGGCUUAGAAGCAGCCACUCAUUCAAAGAGUGCGUAAUAGCUCACUGGUCGAGUGAUCCUGCGCCGAAGAUUUCCGGGGCUAAAACUUACUACCGAAGCUACGGCAUCAGUAAUGAUGGGUAGGGGAGCUUCCCAUACGGGUUGAAGCAUGACCGUAAGGACAUGUGGACAGUAUGGGAGUGAGAAUGUUGGCAUGAGUAGCGAGAUGUGGGUGAGAAUCCCACAGGCCGUAAACCCAAGGUUUCCAGGGGAAGGUUCGUCCGCCCUGGGUUAGUCGGGACCUAAGCUGAGGCCGAAAGGCGUAGGUGAUGGACAACAGGUUGAUAUUCCUGUACUACCGAUAACCGUUUGAGAGAAGGGAUGACACAGUAGGAUAAGCUAAGCACACUGUUGGUUAUGUGUGCCCAAGCAUUGAGGCAGUCAAAGUAGGCAAAUCCGCUUUGAUAAUGCUGGG
RNAcentral lists this ribosomal RNA (1186 nucleotides) under Clostridioides difficile. Its description in RNAcentral is "partial 23S ribosomal RNA". It matches the Rfam family "Bacterial large subunit ribosomal RNA", at positions 366 to 1560 of the family's 2925-position model. The record is from RNAcentral. Lineage: Bacteria; Bacillati; Bacillota; Clostridia; Peptostreptococcales; Peptostreptococcaceae.